AACGAACGCUGGCGGCAGGCCUAAUACAUGCAAGUCGAGCGCCCAGCAAUGGGAGCGGCCCACGGGUGCGUAACGCGUGGGAAUAUGCCUUUAGGUACGGAACAACCAAGGGAAACUUUGGCUAAUACCGUAUAAUAUCUUCGGAUCAAAGAAUUUCGCCUAAAGAUUAGCCCGCGUCUGAUUAGCUAGUUGGUGGGGUAAAGGCCUACCAAGGCGACGAUCAGUAGCUGGUCUGAGAGGAUGAUCAGCCACACUGGAACUGAGACACGGUCCAGACUCCUACGGGAGGCAGCAGUAAGGAAUAUUGGACAAUGGGGGCAACCCUGAUCCAGCCAUGCCGCGUGAGUGACGAAGGCCUUAGGGUUGUAAAGCUCUUUUGGUGGGGAAGAUAAUGACUGUACCCACAGAAUAAGCCCCGGCUAAAUUCGUGCCAGCAGCCGCGGUAA
RNAcentral lists this ribosomal RNA (446 nucleotides) under uncultured bacterium. Its description in RNAcentral is "partial 16S ribosomal RNA". It matches the Rfam family "Bacterial small subunit ribosomal RNA", at positions 29 to 523 of the family's 1533-position model. The record is from RNAcentral.